Non-coding RNA from Delphinapterus leucas (beluga whale), 421 nucleotides. Lineage: Eukaryota; Metazoa; Chordata; Mammalia; Artiodactyla; Monodontidae. The record is from RefSeq and is a predicted model, not a curated record.
AUGGAGGGGUGUAGUGAGCCACAGCUGGAUGCUAAGGCCAAGGUCACCAACCAGCUCAUAGAUUUUCAGUGGAAGCUGGGUAUGGCUGUGAGCUCAGACAGCUGCAGAUCACUUAAGUAUCCUUAUGUUGCAGUGAUGCUCAAAGUGGCAGAUCAUUCAGGCCAAGUAAAGAACAAGUCCUUUGAAAUGACAAUUCCACAGUUUCAGAAUUUCUAGACAGUUCAAGGAAACUGCUGCAAUUAUUGAAACUGUGUGAAAACUGAUUACUUGGUUGAUGAAUUGCUACCAUCAUUCUAAAAUCAUGGACUUUACUUUCUGCAACAAAACUGCCUAAGGAUCAAAUGAUAUUUAUUGAAUGAAAAUUACACUUUUGGUUUUCCAUUUUUUUAAAUAAUAAAAAAGAAAAUCAGACAAACAGGAA